GUGAUUUUACAUUUCAUGAAAAGCAUUUGUAAAGUAAUGGGUUGCAGCUUCCAUGGAUAUAUUUCUUGGAUCUCAGCAAUGGUGGAAAUACAUGAUCCAUCACAACAUUAAAAGCUGUAGCUCUAGAAGUGCACUUCAAUCAAACCUGAAAUCUUUACUCUUGUGGAUUGAGAUUGGUUAUGGAUGGGAUGCCUACAUCUAUUGAAGGUCUCAGUAGCAUUAUUAGCUUUGUUAUUGAACACAGAUAAAUUACAUGGUGUAUACUUAUAUGCAUGAUUAAUUAAAUUUAAAUGAUUCAGCAUCUUAGAGGCUUGCAAAUCAUUUUGUAUAAACAUAUUUGUUAAUAAAUUUAGUAUUCAUUGAAAAUUUGCUCUGUUUAUUGUAUAAGUGCUGCAUGUUCUGAACAGUCGGUUGGGAAUGUAAGAGGAUGCUGAGUUAUUCAGCUGAAGUUUUAUAUUUUGUAUUUAUAAUAUUUAUAAAGUUAAUAUUUGUUUUGUGAGGACUUAUUUGUGAUGUUUCUUUUUGAGUGUACAAAUAAAGUGGUAUUUUGUCUUGCUUAAACAUCAGCUACUUUUCUGAAUGUAUACAGGAAAUGCACCACCAUUCGUGUUGUUUUGUUGAGUGUCACUGAAAUUAGUUUAGUGUGUAUUUGUUGAGUAUGUCCACAGAGUGUGUGUACAUCACUAUUAAUAACUAAAUAAGAAAUGUAUGUACACCAUCUGAAGGGUAUGUUAGAAGUGUAAAACGUUACAUAUUUGUUUUGAAAUUGUGCAAUUAUAAUAGUAAAACACUAUUAUUUGCCACAUAAGUGAAUAUUAUGAUGUCAGUAUCACUAAAGAAAGUGCACUUGAUGAUCAUCAUAGAAGUCAGUAUACUUUGAUACUGAUACAACUGGUUAUAAGGGAUUCUGAGAUCUUGAGAAGAAAGACAAAAGUGAAAGUUAAAACAACAUAAAACAAUGGUGAAUGGAAACUGUGAAUCAGAUUUGUGUUUGCAGUAACAGUGUAUUGUGUAGAAAACCAGAAAGCCCAAUGAAAAUUGAUGUUUAUAAAUAUGUAUUUUAGAUCACUUAUAUGGCUUUUCCAAAAUAAAAACAAAAUAUUUUUCUUAA
Schistocerca gregaria is the source of this 1111-nucleotide long non-coding RNA. RefSeq lists it as uncharacterized. Lineage: Eukaryota; Metazoa; Arthropoda; Insecta; Orthoptera; Acrididae. The record is from RefSeq and is a predicted model, not a curated record. The transcript has 2 exons.